GUAAGCCCCAUGUCAAAGUAUAUAUAUAUGGAGUGGGAUAUCCACUGGAGUUCAAGAAAACAUUAAUUGAACAGCCUCCAAAUCGUAAGGGGCUACAGUAGCUUGUACCGUUUGCUGUUUCUGCUCCAAAAUGCCCAAGUCAGAAGCCCAACCGCCUCCAGAAGGAUAUCCAACUGAAAAUCCUCCCACUCGGAAGAAAUGCUGCCCACAGUCAAAGAAGAAGGGAGACAGAGGCUUCAUUGAGGGAUGCCUGUUCGCUUUAUGUUGCUGCUGGCUGUGUGAGAUGUGUUGCUGAUACAAAGGAGGGGGAGGACAGAUAUCAUGGCCUCAAGAGCCAUAGGACCAGAUUGAUCAGGACAAGACGCCAAUCUCAUUAGCUGAUUGUUUAUUGUAGUGUGUUGAAUGUUGAUGUAUGUAUGUAUGUAUGUAUGUGUGUGCAUAUAUGCAUGUAUAAACUUUUUAAUAAUAUGUGAUUAUUUUGAACUAAUAUGUGGAAUAAGGAUUAGAAGAAUCAAUGUCUAAAAAAUAGAAGACAUUCAAACAAACAAAACU
This is a long non-coding RNA of Nelumbo nucifera (sacred lotus), 552 nucleotides long. RefSeq lists it as uncharacterized. NCBI's taxonomy places the organism in Eukaryota, Viridiplantae, Streptophyta, Magnoliopsida, Proteales, Nelumbonaceae. The record is from RefSeq and is a predicted model, not a curated record.